Long non-coding RNA from Manihot esculenta (cassava), 2584 nucleotides. RefSeq lists it as uncharacterized. NCBI's taxonomy places the organism in Eukaryota, Viridiplantae, Streptophyta, Magnoliopsida, Malpighiales, Euphorbiaceae. The transcript has 6 exons. The record is from RefSeq and is a predicted model, not a curated record.
UUUUUUGAAAAUAAAUUUAUUUUGAUGUUAAAAAUACAGCUCUACAAAGGUGUGGUCAUGAUUUUUUUUCUUCUAAAAAAACAUUCAUAGCUUUGAUUUUGAAUCUGCUUAAACAAAUUAAAAUUAUUUUAUUUUGCUUAUUUAAUUAAAAAUAUAAAAUAUUUUAAUUAUAAAAAAGUAAAAAUAAAUAAUAUUAUAUUAAUUAAUAAAGGGAACCCUAUCAAUUAGUGGCGGCAAUAUAAUGAUAAGCUUGCUAAUAUAUAUAUUUUUGGCUUGGGGGAAUGAAAACCUUAAAAUUAAAAAUUCCCUCCCUACAGCCGCUACUGCUACCGCUACGAAUUCUAUAUAAAUUUUCAUUCUCACUCAUGAUUCAUUCAGUUUUCAAUUUCUGUCAACUAUCAAAAGGAGAAGCUCCCACUAUCAAAUCCAAUCAGGUACGUUUAAAAUUAGAAAAGCCUUAAAAUUAAUGUUUCAUUGUAAUUGUUCUAGGUUAAACACGUGAAAGGCAUCUGAUAUUUACUUUUCAUUCGUUUUUCAUCUGUUAAAAAGCUUUGAUUCACUAUUUUUAUAUUAAUUUAUCCUCUAUGUGUAAUAUUCAAUUUUUUCCAUGAAGCAGAAGCAAACAUCAUGGCUCGACGAUGCAAGUUGCGGAAAGGGAAUUCCAUCAAUAUUAACUUGGAAAAUGAGACUGAAAAUAAUGUUAACUAGAACUUUCAAGAAACUCAAGAGUUACACCAAAAUCAGGCUUCAAAUUUUCAAGGGAAUACUAGUCAGAAGACAAUGAGGUAUCAUUAUGAAGGCCAUUUUAUAUUUUCACCAAAUAGAAUAUAUGAAAAUGGUAGGUUUAUGGAGAAACCUAAUUUUGAUGUUGAUUUCAUCUCAUUUUUUGAUAUAUUGGAUGACUUGAAAAAGGAUUGUGGAUUUGAUGUUAUAAAAGGAGAUAAAUUUUAUUACUUGAAGGCUGAUAAAGCUCUUAGUGAUCUUGAUGCAUUGAUAGAGGUUAAAGAUGAUACAGAUGUGAAAAAUAUGAUGGAUAGUUAUAAGAAGUUCCCUUCGAAACCCAUUGAUAUAUACACUCUAUUUCGAGAUUAUGAUAUUUUACCAAAUGGACUUGGUGACGAGCUACCCGCAGUUACCAUUGAUCACACUUCUAAUCAACUUCAAAAUCCAAAUGCAACUGCAGCAACAUGUUUACUCAUUUAAUUUUAUUUAAACAAUUGAUUAUGUUUACUUGUUCUAUGUACAGAAAUUCUUGUUAUUAUAUGAUUAUUGUUUUACUUUUGUUUUGAAAUAGGUUCCAAUACAAUUAAAAGAAAAACUAGAGGACCAACACGAUGCUUGAAAAUCACAUAAUUGGAGAAUGGGCAAAAAUUGCCAGUAGAAUCUGAUGAAGAUGAUCAAGCUAUUGGUGAUAAUGCUACUGCAUUUGUUUGGUUUUUAGGACAAACUAUUAGAAGUGUGUCGUGUUGUCCAUUGCAAGUGAAACAAUGGAAUAAGAUUACCGAUGAUAAGCUCGACCACAUGUGGUCUACCAUAUUGGUACAAAAAUUUAUAUUAAAUUACAUCCAUUAUAAAAUGAUUAUAAUUUUUUUAGUUCUAUUAAGUAUAGAGACACUUUGUUUCUUACUUCUUUGCUAAAAGGAAAAGUUCACUUUUGAGUAUUCUGAUGCAAGAAAUGGAGCAAUUUUCGGUCAUAUGAAUGCAUUAUAUAGGUAUUAUAGGCAUAAGUUGAAGAAGAAGUACUUUGAUUCAAAGGCAACUUAUUCACUUCGUCUCCAAAACAAGCCUAAGGAUAUAUAUGGAUGUAAAAGAUUGGAAGUAUUUGGUUAAUCUUUGGACAGAAAAUGCAUUUCAGGAGAGAAGCAACAAAAAUAAGACAAAUAGAUGCAAGCGUUCUAUGCCGCCAUACACGGGGACAAAAAGCUUUGCUCGGCUGAGAGAUCAUAUGAAGAAAAAAAAUGGAAAAACACCUUCUCGCUUAGAGCUUUUUCUUGAAUCCAGAAAGAGAAAGCAAGGCAAAGAAAUUGAUCCAAUAUCACAAGAAGCCAUUGAAAAGUUUCAGCAACUAAAGAAACAACGAGAAGAAUGACAAAUUUCACUGGAUGAUGAUGCUAUGUUUGCUGAUGUACUUGGGCCAGAAAAAAAUGGUUAUGUACAUGCUUAUGGUCCUGGAAAAAAUGUCACGGAAUAUUUUGGUGCUAGACCUACAAAGAUAAAACUACUUAGACAAUUUGAUACUUCAAGAAGAGAAGCAAAGCGUGUCCAACAAAUUCAAAAAGAAGCAAGUGAACAAGUAAAUGAUGUUAAGAAGCAAAUGGAUGAGAAACUUGCAGAGAUGAAUAGAAUAUGAGAGCAGAAAUUCAAGAUGCUUUUGGAGAAAAACAAUAAUAUUGCAUCACCUAUGGAGGAUUCCCAAGAUGAUGAAAUUGGAGGAUGAUUUGCAGUAUAUUUGAAGUUUUGUAUUUUGAAGCAGCCAGCAGCCUUAUAAUACUACUUUUAGAAAUUUUAGAUAUUAAUAUUAGUGUUAGUAUAGUAUUAUAAUUUCAAGUAUUUUUAGUGUGAUUGCUUUAUGACUUAAAUUAGU